CCUACGGGAGGCAGCAGUGGGGAAUAUUGGACAAUGGGCGAAAGCCUGAUCCAGCCAUGCCGCGUGUGUGAAGAAGGCCUUCGGGUUGUAAAGCACUUUCAGUGGGGAAGAAAGCCUUGGGGCUAAUACCCUCGAGGAAGGACAUCACCCACAGAAGAAGCACCGGCUAACUCCGUGCCAGCAGCCGCGGUAAUACGGAGGGUGCGAGCGUUAAUCGGAAUUACUGGGCGUAAAGCGCGCGUAGGCGGUCUGAUAAGCCGGUUGUGAAAGCCCCGGGCUCAACCUGGGAACGGCAUCCGGAACUGUCAGGCUAGAGUGCAGGAGAGGAAGGUAGAAUUCCCGGUGUAGCGGUGAACUGCGUAGAGAUCGGGAGGAAUACCAGUGGCGAAGGCGGCCUUCUGGACUGACACUGACGCUGAGGUGCGAAAGCGUGGGUAGCAAACAGGAUUAGAUACCCGUGUAGUC
This 465-nucleotide ribosomal RNA is filed under the name Vreelandella stevensii. Its description in RNAcentral is "partial 16S ribosomal RNA". It matches the Rfam family "Bacterial small subunit ribosomal RNA", at positions 338 to 795 of the family's 1533-position model. Lineage: Bacteria; Pseudomonadati; Pseudomonadota; Gammaproteobacteria; Oceanospirillales; Halomonadaceae. The record is from RNAcentral.